AUGAGCUGUGGAAGGACAUUCACAUUCACGACCGAAGGCGAGAUCUACGACGGGGGCUUAGUUCCUACCAAUCAUUGUGUCCUACUGAUAGGAUCGGGAGUGUUGAAUUAUCCUGGCAACCCAGCCAGGACCAAGACCAAUAAGUACUCACGGAAGAGCUGGCCUUUGAACCCUAUUGGUAAACCGGGACCCCGUGUUUGCUUGGGAGCAAGGGGAUAUGGAUUUCACAAGCCUUCGGAAUAUCCAGUGUAA
RNAcentral lists this ribosomal RNA (252 nucleotides) under Triticum aestivum (bread wheat). RNAcentral describes it as "partial small subunit ribosomal RNA". The record is from RNAcentral. Lineage: Eukaryota; Viridiplantae; Streptophyta; Magnoliopsida; Poales; Poaceae.